CAGACAUCCUCUGGAAAUUGAGUGUUUCAUUAUUUUUUCAUGCAUGGUAUAAUUAUUCCAUUGCUGACAUUGCGUUAAUGAUGGAACUUGGCUGCCAUCAUCACAAAAAUGGUAAAUGUAUAUUGAGAAAAUAUCCUACGAGUGGAUUUUCUAUAUAUUUUCCAUAUGUUGAGGUGAUGGAACCCAAUUUCUUUUUGUGACCUUUAUCACACGAGAGUCUUCUGUACCUUUAAUGCUACAUUUGACAAAUUAGAGCCAUUCAAUAUCCAAGGGAUGCCUAGUAUUUUCCUACUUGUUUUACAUUGUUCAAUCGAAUGAUGGUGCCAUUCUCAUUUUUCACU
RNAcentral lists this unclassified non-coding RNA (341 nucleotides) under Hevea brasiliensis (rubber tree). The record is from RNAcentral. Lineage: Eukaryota; Viridiplantae; Streptophyta; Magnoliopsida; Malpighiales; Euphorbiaceae.